Molecule: ribosomal RNA, 789 nt
Filed under: uncultured bacterium
Lineage: Bacteria
Description: bacterial SSU rRNA
Rfam family: Bacterial small subunit ribosomal RNA
Source: RNAcentral
AGAGUUUGAUCCUGGCUCAGAUUGAACGCUGGCGGCAUGCCUAACACAUGCAAGUCGCACGCGAAAGGGGGCAACCCCGAGUAGAGUGGCGGACGGGUGCGUAAUACGCAGGAAUCUACCCACGAGUGGGGGACAACCCGGGGAAACCCGGGCUAAUACCGCAUGAGACCUACGGGUGAAAGCGGGGGAUCGCAAGACCUCGCGCUGGUGGAUGAGCCUGCGUCCGAUUAGCUAGUUGGUAGGGUAAAAGCCUACCAAGGCAACGAUCGGUAGCUGGUCUGAGAGGACGACCAGCCACACUGGGACUGAGACACGGCCCAGACUCCUACGGGAGGCAGCAGUGGGGAAUAUUGGACAAUGGGGGCAACCCUGAUCCAGCAAUGCCGCGUGUGUGAAGAAGGCCUUCGGGUUGUAAAGCACUUUCGAUGGGGACAAACGUGUCGGGCUUAAUACGUCCGGCCUUGAUGGUACCCAGAGAAGAAGCACCGGCUAACUCUGUGCCAGCAGCCGCGGUAAUACAGAGGGUGCAAGCGUUAAUCGGAAUUACUGGGCGUAAAGCGUGCGUAGGUGGUUGGAUAAGUCAGGUGUGAAAUCCCCGAGCUCAACUUGGGAAUUGCGCUUGAUACUGUCCGGCUAGAGUGUGGUAGAGGGUAGUGGAAUUCCGCAUGUAGCGGUGAAAUGCGUAGAUAUGCGGAGGAACAUCAGUGGCGAAGGCGGCUACCUGGACCAACACUGACACUGAGGCACGAAAGCGUGGGUAGCAAACGGGAUUAGAUACCCUGGUAGUCC